Long non-coding RNA from Bos taurus (domestic cattle), 420 nucleotides. The record is from Ensembl. NCBI's taxonomy places the organism in Eukaryota, Metazoa, Chordata, Mammalia, Artiodactyla, Bovidae.
AUCAGCUCCAGCGCAGCUUGGAGGGCGCGCUCCCAGCUCUGCUAACAGUGAAAGCCCCGGCGAGCUAGCGAGCCCUGGGACCUUGCGCGGAACGUCGCGCAACCCCGCGCUGCGCAGCAGACUACACGGGCGACAGUGACCCUGGCACCUGGCCAGGGAUCCAGCGCUGAUGGGCAAACUGAGGCCAAGCAGGAGGACUUGCCAAAGUAUCCCUGCAGAACACCGCCUGGAGGUCGCACCGCUUGGACACCCACAGUGCGGGUCUGCUCGCCGACCAUCCACUCACAGGUAUGUUACAGAGGACGAGGAAGCGUCCCGAAGAACCUCCUGGCGUUUAGUGGAGCCACAGAACACUAGGGCAUUGACAAGCAUCAGAACAUCAAGCAGCCUUAGAUUUCACGAUCACUCCAAAUGGGACAU